Molecule: ribosomal RNA, 484 nt
Filed under: uncultured bacterium
Lineage: Bacteria
Description: bacterial SSU rRNA
Rfam family: Bacterial small subunit ribosomal RNA
Source: RNAcentral
CGCUAGCGGCAGGCAUAAUACAUGCAAGUUGAACGGGAUCAGUUGUAGCAAUACGACUGUGAGAGUAGCGCACGGGUGCGUAACACGUAUGCAAUCUGCCCCUAUCUGAGGAAUAGCCCCUCGAAAGAGGGAUUUAAUAUCUCAUAAAAUAGUGAGUAGGCAUCUACUUACUAUCAAAGCUCAGGCGGAUAGGGAUGAGCAUGCGGCUGAUUAGCUAGUUGGUGAGGUAAUGGCUCACCAAGGCUACGAUCAGUAGGGGGUCUGAGAGGAUGUCCCCCCACACUGGUACUGAGACACGGACCAGACUCCUACGGGAGGCAGCAGUGGGGAAUUUUGGACAAUGGGCGCAAGCCUGAUCCAGCAAUGCCGCGUGCAGGAAGAAGGCCUUCGGGUUGUAAACUGCUUUUGUACGGAACGAAAAGGCUCUGGUUAAUACCUGGGGCUCAUGACGGUACCGUAAGAAUAAGCACCGGCUAACUACGUG